GCUGCACCUCUCCUAGAUCCAUUUAAGAGCUGACUGCCACCAGUGAAGGGUUUCUUCUGGAAAUCCCUCCUCUGGAGUUUUAUGACAAGUCCAGGAUAUGGAGAGAUAUUUUGCUUCAAGGAAAGAAGAACCAGUAUGGCUCAAAUAUGGACAGAUCCAUCUUGCUUCCCUGAAACUCAAAACAAAGACAAAGAAGUCAGUGGAAGGGAAUGAAGAGACACUUCAGGAAUCCUAAGCCUACGCUUUGUGCGCUGUGGAGAGUUCAGAGAAGCAGUGUGCUUAUCCCUGUGAUGACAAAUGAAGAUUAAAUGAAGGUAUUCACCAGACAAUUCUUCCAGUGUUCCCUGAUCUGAAAUGCACACUGAACAUUGUGGAAGAUGGCUUAGCGCUGCUGGCUCCGUGGAAGGAAAGCCUGCAGCUCUGGCAGCAUUAAGGAGCUAAACAAAACCAAGUCUGGAACAUCCUCACUUUCAGGCCCAUGGUUCCAGAUUGGCUGAAAACUUGCAUGGAGCCUGUCCCCGUGCAGAGAUCUGUGUUAGCCAUGGAGAAAGAAGCACAUCUGGCACUGGGUGCAAUCUGGAGCUUCCCAGUAACUUCCAAGACUCUCAAACUUUUUGGUGCUCUUACAGCACUUAGAACUAUGGCACUCUGCACGAGCAGAAAACUUGUUUUAAUAAAAAAUAUGGAUGGAAUUGAAAUGGGAGAAAUUUAGCUGCUGUACAUAAGUGUCUGCAUGUGGCCUGGUAUUGUAAGAAGGAGACUCAAAUUCUGCUUUUUUAAGAUAUAUCUACAAUCUCUGUAGCCACGCUGUUUCAAGAGGAAGGACACCUGCCUAUGUACAACUUAGUGCAAAUCUUUCCCUCUUCCUUAGUGUCCAUGAGGUGCCGCAGGCCCAGGAAAUGGAAUACCUUCCAGUAGGUCACAACCACUCCUGAGUGAACAUCAGAAGAUGGCUUUGGUCAGCACCUGCCUCUGCCUGCAGCCUGCCAGAAUGACAGCACGAGAGCCAGACAUUUGCAGCACACGUCUCAAGGUGUUUCUGAGGAUCAGGUUUGGCCCAGGCAGCCUUGGGGACAUUUAUAACCCCUUGACCUCUUCUUCCUUUUUUAAGCUCUGUUAUUUCUACUGCAAACAAUCUCCUCUGUCCACUGAUGGAUAGACCCACCACUGAUGACCUUCUCUUCAUUGCCAAAGUAGAAAAAGGCAGAGGACUCAUUAAGCAGGAGAAAUUUGCACACACACUGCUUGUAGCAAUCAGCGUAUACCCCCAGAUAAAAUUACCACAGUCCACCUUCUCCCUCUGAAUGCACAAGGCCUUUGGAGGAGCAAGCAGCUCAAAGGGUGAUGGGUGAAGAAAUUGCACAAGGUGCAUGUGCUCUGGAGAGAACUAGCUCUUUCCAGAGCUGUCAUGAUUGUCUGAUAUACAAAACCCCACAGAAAAAAAAUCAUUACGGAGCUUUAAAAAUGUCUCUCCAUCUAUCUCUUUGUUAAUCUACUCUCCUUAGUACUGACUGCAUGUCCUUGAGGAUAUUAGCCAAAUUUAACCUGAAACAAGAUACCCGUCUUUUGGCAAGCACAAAGACUGAAAUUUAUGCUAUGACAAGAACCUGUGAAAAUUCUUGAAGAUGAUCUAUUUCCAGAAUAAAAAUCAGGUUUUGUUUAACCUUGUCAGAAGGUUUAUUUGAUUAAGAUUUACAUGAAUACACACUAUUCCUCGGCUCUCAAUUCAAAGUACAGUCUUAAUAAUAUAGAUCUUCAGUUUUUGCUGCAUCUCCAGUCAUAGAUACUGGAAAAUCUACUAUUGUAUGUACCAGGUUCUGAAACUGAAUCAUGCAAAACAAACAAAAAAAAACCCGAAAAAAUAAAAAAAAUUAAAAAAAAUAAAAAUUCUGCAUUGAAGCUGUGACUGGGAAGAGAUGCCUGCUGCUGCACUCGUACCAUCUUGAGUCACCUUCAUUGGAACUCUGUACAGAUAUUGUCAUCCUCCAGCCUGCAAAGCUGGGGAAGAAGUUCUGAAUUGGGAUUAGCAAACUAAAUAAGGUUACUUUUCUAGUGGUCUCAGCUUUAACUUCACUAUUCCUAUUCUAAAUCCUAUAAGACUUUUGGACUUUCUCAGCUUUGAUACCUCCAUCUAGAAAUACUGCCCUUUCUCACAGCAGCUUUGUAGGACUAAACAGGUUAACGCAAGCACAGCAUUUUUAAGAUAUGCAUUAUGCUCAACUUUAUUAUUAAAAUGUUAAAUGUUUGGUUUUCCUAA
Lagopus muta (rock ptarmigan) is the source of this 2257-nucleotide long non-coding RNA. RefSeq lists it as uncharacterized. The record is from RefSeq and is a predicted model, not a curated record. Lineage: Eukaryota; Metazoa; Chordata; Aves; Galliformes; Phasianidae. The transcript is spliced from 3 exons.